RNAcentral lists this ribosomal RNA (498 nucleotides) under uncultured bacterium. Its description in RNAcentral is "partial 16S ribosomal RNA". It matches the Rfam family "Bacterial small subunit ribosomal RNA", at positions 30 to 523 of the family's 1533-position model. The record is from RNAcentral.
AUUGAACGCUGGCGGCAUGCCUUACACAUGCAAGUCGAACGGUAACAGGUCUUCGGAUGCUGACGAGUGGCGAACGGGUGAGUAAUACAUCGGAACGUGCCCGAUCGUGGGGGAUAACGAAGCGAAAGCUUUGCUAAUACCGCAUACGAUCUAAGGAUGAAAGCAGGGGACCGCAAGGCCUUGCGCGAACGGAGCGGCCGAUGGCAGAUUAGGUAGUUGGUGGGAUAAAAGCUUACCAAGACGACGAUCUGUAGCUGGUCUGAGAGGACGACCAGCCACACUGGGACUGAGACACGGCCCAGACUCCUACGGGAGGCAGCAGUGGGGAAUUUUGGACAAUGGGCGAAAGCCUGAUCCAGCCAUGCCGCGUGCAGGAUGAAGGCCUUCGGGUUGUAAACUGCUUUUGUACGGAACGAAGAGACUCUGGUUAAUACCUGGGGUCCAUGACGGUACCGUAAGAAUAAGCACCGGCUAACUACGUGCCAGCAGCAGCCGCGG